Molecule: long non-coding RNA, 1064 nt
Filed under: Marmota monax (woodchuck)
Lineage: Eukaryota; Metazoa; Chordata; Mammalia; Rodentia; Sciuridae
Source: RNAcentral
AUUAAGUAUCAGGAAGAAAGGAUGAUUCUGGAACAUUCUGGAUAAACUUUAACAUAAUUAACAUUGAUUUCAGGCCUUGCUUUCUCAUCUGAGAAAUGAAGAUGAUGUAGUUCAUGUAUUAAUUAUUGGAAGACAUCUAAACAUCUCAACAAGUCCCAAACACAGGAAACAGCUGGCUUCAGCACACGUCUCUGUGUUCAGGUCCUUCCAUCAUCUAUAAAGAUGGAGAGAGACUUCAUUAGAAACCAUUAAGAAAGAAAGGUGGGGCAGGAAAGAAAACUCAAAUGAGUUCAGGACUUUACCAGUUAUUUUCAAAUAGUCAAGGUACAGAAAGCAAAGAAGCAGUUUUCUUGACAUGAAACCCACCACCCUACCUCACCCACAUUAUUUGCUGCAUUUCUAUCAGCAAAAUAUUCAGCAAUGUACUCAUUGGGUGUUCCGUUUGUUGCUUAAUUACACAAGGUAUUUUAAAUCCUAGAAAGUGCCCUCCAUACAUUUACAUACAUUUAAAGAAUGCCACCGCUGUGCACGAAUAAUGGACUCAUACCGAAGCCAAGCACUGAGGCAAGACCUGGUAUCAACUCCCUGUUUAACUUCACUUGACCCUGGACUUCCACAAUCAUCAGGUGAAGAAUAUUUUGUUUCAUUACCUGAGUUUGGUGAUUAGCAAGAGUGUCUGAGACACGAAGGCCCUCUUGCCUGUCCAUCAAGUAAAACGUCAGGAACUGCACUUGAGCAAGCCAAUCAAUGACAAGAACAGACCAAGGAAAUAAGGAUCUUUGUUCUUGAGAUUGGCAGAAUUGAGAAACAGCUCAGAGGCUGGGCAUUAGGAUCUGUGAUAUUUGACCACACACCUUCACCUGUGAGAAGGCGCCUACCUGUCUGCAGUUAACCAUCUCCAAAUAAACCAUCUGUCCCCAAAUCAGCCUCCAGGGCAGAUGGCCCUUUAGGACAAGAUGGUCCUCUAUUCUCCAAUCAGAUAGCUCAUGGUAAGAAAGUUCCUUCUCUGCCAUGUUUUUGCCUCUGGAUUGAUUGACUUCUGUCUUUCUGUGAGCUGAGUGAGC